RNAcentral lists this unclassified non-coding RNA (446 nucleotides) under Fusarium neocosmosporiellum. RNAcentral's name for it is "sequence contains 18S rRNA gene, ITS1, 5.8S rRNA gene, ITS2, 28S rRNA gene". The stretch from base 122 to 275 matches the Rfam family "5.8S ribosomal RNA". The record is from RNAcentral. Lineage: Eukaryota; Fungi; Ascomycota; Sordariomycetes; Hypocreales; Nectriaceae.
AACUUACCUAUAACGUUGCUUCGGCGGGAACAGACGGCCCCGUAAAACGGGCCGCCCCCGCCAGAGGACCCCUAACUCUGUUUUUAUAAUGUUUUUCUGAGUAAGCAAGCAAAUAAAUUAAAACUUUCAACAACGGAUCUCUUGGCUCUGGCAUCGAUGAAGAACGCAGCGAAAUGCGAUAAGUAAUGUGAAUUGCAGAAUUCAGUGAAUCAUCGAAUCUUUGAACGCACAUUGCGCCCGCCAGUAUUCUGGCGGGCAUGCCUGUUCGAGCGUCAUUACAACCCUCAGGCCUCCGGGCCUGGCGUUGGGGAUCGGCGGAGCCCCCCGUGGGCACACGCCGUCCCCCAAAUACAGUGGCGGUCCCGCCGCAGCUUCCAUUGCGUAGUAGCUAACACCUCGCAACUGGAGAGCGGCGCGGCCACGCCGUAAAACACCCAACUUCUGAA